This 1195-nucleotide long non-coding RNA is filed under the name Equus caballus (horse). RNAcentral's name for it is "lncRNA (ENSECAG00000049910.1)". The record is from RNAcentral. Lineage: Eukaryota; Metazoa; Chordata; Mammalia; Perissodactyla; Equidae.
CGAUUCCUUCCUUCUGCAAAACAUCUGAAGCAGCCAUUCCGCGUCUUCUCCCCGAGAGAAGCCUGUGACAGCGUCUGAUAAUGCUCUUUUAUAUCCGAUAUUCUGCAUGUCUGUGAGCAGGAGGGCUGUUGCCCCUUACAAGAGGAUGAUCCAGCAUCAGGGCUGUAGCAGACUGACCAGCUCUUAGGCCAUCUUUGUGGAUUGCGUGGAACAGGGAGUCACCAAAAAUGUUUCCAGAGUAAUAGAGACAUUCACACCAAUGGAGUCUGAGUCUGCAUGUGUGAGGCCCAAACCCUCACCCUUUUUGUCCUGGUAGAAUUGUAUUGUGUUGUCCUGAUGGAAUCCCAAACCAGGAGAGCAGCGUGCCAUAAGUGGAAGAAAGGCCUCAACCCUUCCUCCUCCUCUGACUUCAGAGAUUUCUAAGUGCUGGGUCAGGAGGGGCGCGCCGAGAGCUGAGAGAAUGCGGUGCAGGCUGAGGAGGAGGACGCCAGUGCUCAGGGGCACACGCAGGCUUCUGUGGUAAUUUCCCUGAGCCCAGGUCACGGGCUGUGGAAUCUUCCAGGCUGUUCUGCAGGGAAUGGAGGGGAGGGCCUAGAGGCAUUGUUUCCCUGGCAUUGACAAAACCUUCAAGGCAUUCAUGAAGCAGCAGCAACCCCAGAGGCCCACCUGAGGAGGGGGCCGAGCCCAGCCAGAGGUGGACCACAGACACGGAGCCGCGGCCUUGCUCGGCACUCCUCCCACCGGACGAUUCUUUUUGAUGCUGAUCUGAGAGGGUCCAGGUUCUGCUUCACGGGAGGUGACCUCCUGUCCAGUCUUAAUGGGCUGUCUGUAACUUCUGCACACCACACACAGAUGGGGUUUGGGUAGGCCUACAAGGUGUCCCAGCCUAGCCUGAGAGUGUGGUCGCGGCAUUUCCCUCUCAAGUGGGGCUCCUGCAACCCGGGUGUUGGCUGUCAGGUGCCAUCAUGCUCAGUCCGAAAUGAAAUAUGAGAUAGUGCUGGAAGAUGAGACCCCCAGUCAGAAGACACUCAAUCAGUUACUAGAGAGGAGCAAAGAACAAGUAGGAAUAGCACUGUUACUGAUGACACAACUAGACUAAAGCCAGAGGGCAUCUAGUGGCUGAAGUGCACAAAAGUGAAAGGAAAGUCUGAUGCUGUACCACGCACACAACUGGAACAUGGAACAUGAGAAGCAC